GGAAACUGGGGCGGCGGCGAGGAGGGUGGGGAACGCAACAGCCCCGAGAAACAAUGGGGAGGGGCAGGGAAUACUCGCCGAGGGCCCCCCCCCCCAGCUUUUGAUGUUAGUGCCACUUUCCUCUUUUGGCCAGCCUUUGCUCUCUCCCCUCAGGUCAAACCAAGGUAGCCCGUCUGGUGACUGCACAGACCGGGAAACUCGCUGUUUCGGCUAGAGGCAGACGAGCGUUCGCAGAAGCUGCCUGACAACUUCCAGCCGAAAAACUGGAAAAUGGGAUCCCACCAGCCCGGCCCGCCCAACUAUGAAUAGGAUCGUCAGCUAAAAAGUUGCGCCCAGAGCCAUUCGGCACCUGGGAGGCCGGCAGGGGCUUCUCCCCUCCACUCUGUCGAAACCUAAGCCGCUCUUUCCGGGGGCUGCCAGCAGGCCGAGAUUUCUCUGAAUAGAACAGAAACUGACCUCUACAGGAUGUUUGGAUUGCAGGUUGUAAAAUAUAUGGCCUAUAAAAAAUCAUUUCCUUUGGGAAAGAAUUGCAGAAAAGUCAUCAUCCUUUGAAGACAAGUUUGAAUAAAAGGUGAUAACCAGCACACGGAACACUUUCUAUCUGCAAGAAGAAAUACAAAGGAGUUGGAGUUAGAAGUAGAUCUCUAAUCAGCCAAUUUGAAUGUGCUUGAAGACAGAUGUGGCAGGGACUCCAUUUCCAGUGUUCAAAUAAGGACAACACGAGUGGUGUGGUGGAGCAACGAGGUGGAAGAAACCUGGUCCCUGAAUGACCUUGUGGGGAAGAGCCAUCCAGAUAGCCAUCCAGCCAGGACUACUCCUAUCGGGACUAUUCUGUAAGAGCUCCUGAGGCAACAGCCACCUUCCUGUUCUUUGGAAUCCUUAUGGACCCUGCUGCUACCCCAGAACUACUCUGCUCAGCACAGUGGACAUGUCCACUGUUCCUCUGCUGCACUGAGAUGCUCACAGCAGCCCUUUCUAUUAAUGACUGCCUUGGAGCCAAACUCGAAUGUGGCCUACAGUGGAAUUGGGAGAACUCUCUCUCCCAAUUUUUGUCAACAAUGGCACUAUUAAGGGAUCUUGAGAUAAUACUGCUGUGUUCACUAUGUAUUGCAGCUUUCUGAUUUUCACUUAGUUGUCUUUUGCCCAAGAACUAAUCCUGUAUCCAGGGGCUGUACUGGCAAUGGAUUCAAUCAACAGCUACCAUUUUAUACUCAGAGUGCCUCUCAACUGAAAUGACUGAGGAUAUGAUGCUGAUUUAGGGUCAUCAUGUCUGGCACCACUGUUUACAAGACAAUUUAGAUAUAGCUGGAACCCAGAGUGGACAUAAUUUAAAUUCUUUCCCAGAAUUCUUCUCUGCAUACAUACAAAUGAAAUUUUGCCAGUUUAUUAAAUAUGCUUGCUUGCAUGUGUCUUGAAAGUUGCUGGUAGAAGGCAAUGACUUAAGCUGAGAGCACUAUCCACACAUAUAAGGAAUUAAUGGUAAUGUUCUUUUAGAGUACUUUACUUCUUGAUCAUGUUAAAUAACAGACUAGACUACAUGUUCUUCUGACCAAUAGUCCUGAACUAUGUUCAGAACUUAGUAAAUUUAUGGUACUGAUACA
This is a long non-coding RNA of Camelus dromedarius (Arabian camel), 1601 nucleotides long. RefSeq lists it as uncharacterized. NCBI's taxonomy places the organism in Eukaryota, Metazoa, Chordata, Mammalia, Artiodactyla, Camelidae. The transcript is spliced from 6 exons. The record is from RefSeq and is a predicted model, not a curated record.